UACCUAGUGAGUUUGAGGCCACACUGGG
This 28-nucleotide non-coding RNA is filed under the name Mus musculus (house mouse). Lineage: Eukaryota; Metazoa; Chordata; Mammalia; Rodentia; Muridae. The record is from RNAcentral. RNAcentral also lists the same sequence under 1 other name.